UUGAUUCGGGCUUUAUAACCCUUUUUUCUCUAUUUUCCUAUUGUUUCUGUCUUGUCUGCCUUACUGAUUGCAGGGGAUGGGCAUGGGAGGUGACCGGUGGUGCAGGGAAUGGUGCUGGUGUUAGAAGGCAGGUGGGCAAGUGGGGAGGCUAAUUCGGCACUGAAUGCUAGGGUUAGGUAUUUUCUAUUUUGGGUUUGAGGUUUCAAGUGGGUUUGGGUAGUUGGGCUAGUGGUUCUAAAUGUAUUUGGGCUGAGGGUGGGUUAGAUGGUUUAAGGGGUUUAAUGUAUUGGGUUUAUUUGUUGGGUCAAAA
This 310-nucleotide long non-coding RNA is filed under the name Gossypium barbadense (sea-island cotton). RNAcentral's name for it is "long non-coding RNA (GBAR_LNC003456)". The record is from RNAcentral. Lineage: Eukaryota; Viridiplantae; Streptophyta; Magnoliopsida; Malvales; Malvaceae.